Molecule: long non-coding RNA, 1255 nt
Filed under: Struthio camelus australis
Lineage: Eukaryota; Metazoa; Chordata; Aves; Struthioniformes; Struthionidae
Description: lncRNA (ENSSCUG00000004281.1)
Source: RNAcentral
AUGAUGAAAAACAACAGUUUUGGAAGUCACACACGCUACAGGGAUUUAAAAGGGGAAAAUAAUCCUCCUCUCCUACCACGGCUUUGCAUGUCUAACCAGAUACUGCGAGGAAACCUGAAUUUCAAGGAAUUCUUCUUGGUCACUAGCAUGAGAGAUGAUGCAAACCAGGUGAAGAAAGAAGUCAUCCAGAAAGGUAAUUUGUUUAUCACUGCAGAUCUAAUCUUUUUGCCAAGUUGUAGAUUGUUUUCCCGAUAAAAAAUCGUCUCCCUGGAAUUUGACACAUCAUCAUUUUUAAAUAAUGAUUCAUUCCAUUAUCGUAAGUAGAAUCUUGUAGAACUAAUGCUAAAGAAGCAGCUUCUGCAGUGAAAUUUGGAAACAGCGAACCUACCUAAUACAGUUUCUCUAGAAGAUAAUAAUACAUCUUUAAAUACUGACAUAAGGACAGGACAACUGUCUCAUCUUCCCCCUUUACUGGGUGCAUUUUAAAAAAAUACUGUUUGUAUAGGUCCCUGAAUUCUCCAGAAACUUGUUUUUUCCUUUUGUUUCCCUUUCCCUUGGUGAACGAAGCUGCCACCCAGACAAGGGAAACGGACGGCUAAUGAAGCUCAACAACAUUUUGUUCGGAACAGCAUUAAGAACCUCUUUCUUCUUCAUGUCUCACCGAUCUGAAGGAAAGAGGACUCCCAGAAGGAGCGCUGGAGGAGAUGCAAGAAUGCUGACUUGCUGUGAGGAGAUGGUAUUGUGAAAAAUCGCUUGACCUGUCAUGACCCGUGAACUAGUCCAGCGCUUCUGUUCUCUUUAUAAAUGAGGUGAACUGGCUGAUCUGACUUACUGAUGUGUGGUUUGCCUACACCUCUGGCCUGCAGCAACGUACAGAACAUACACUGCUCCACUGUUAGUGGAGUAACUAACCUCAAGCCAAGACACCCUUGGAUCCACCCUUUACAAACGCAGCUAGAAGGAUUCUGUAGGAGUCAUCACAGCAGAUUUUUGCAAAGGACUGAAAAUCUGGGUACUUUCCUUGUAGUACGUCAGCACUAGAGACAGCGGUUCUCCUACUCAGCCAACUCAUGGCUAUGUCUUAAUUAGGAAGCUGAUACUACUCGCUCGUUGUUGGAAGCUGCGUUGUAGGUCCGCGUAGACAUAGUACAAGGAUAUGUGAGGCGAGGCUUGUGGGAAGGCACGGUCUUGUUAAGUGAAGUAACACUGCAGGGAAGGAGGACAAGCUGCCUGGCUCACGAGCAACUCCUAGCUC